Molecule: ribosomal RNA, 2645 nt
Filed under: Staphylococcus haemolyticus
Lineage: Bacteria; Bacillati; Bacillota; Bacilli; Caryophanales; Staphylococcaceae
Description: 23S ribosomal RNA
Rfam family: Bacterial large subunit ribosomal RNA
Source: RNAcentral
GAUUAAGUUAUUAAGGGCGCACGGUGGAUGCCUUGGCACUAGAAGCCGACGAAGGACGUUACUAACGACGAUAUGCUUUGGGUAGCUGUAAGUAAGCGUUGAUCCAGAGAUUUCCGAAUGGGGGAACCCAGCACGAGUUAUGUCGUGUUAUCGACAAGUGAAUUCAUAGCUUGUCAGAAGGCAGACCCGGAGAACUGAAACAUCUUAGUACCCGGAGGAAGAGAAAGAAAAAUCGAUUCCCUGAGUAGCGGCGAGCGAAACGGGAAGAGCCCAAACCAAUAAGCUUGCUUAUUGGGGUUGUAGGACACUCUAUACGGAGUUACAAAGGAAUAUAUUAGACGAAUCAUCUGGAAAGUUGAAUCAAAGAAGGUAAUAAUCCUGUAGUUGAAAAUAUAUUCUCUCUUGAGUGGAUCCUGAGUACGACGGAGCACGUGAAAUUCCGUCGGAAUCUGGGAGGACCAUCUCCUAAGGCUAAAUACUCUCUAGUGACCGAUAGUGAACCAGUACCGUGAGGGAAAGGUGAAAAGUACCCCGGAAGGGGAGUGAAAGAGAACUUGAAACCGUGUGCUUACAAGUAGUCAGAGCCCGUUAAUGGGUGAUGGCGUGCCUUUUGUAGAAUGAACCGGCGAGUUACGAUCUGAUGCAAGGUUAAGCAGGAGAUGUGGAGCCGUAGCGAAAGCGAGUCUGAAUAGGGCGUUGAGUAUUUGGUCGUAGACCCGAAACCAGGUGAUCUACCCAUGGUCAGGUUGAAGUUCAGGUAACACUGAAUGGAGGACCGAACCGACUUACGUUGAAAAGUGAGCGGAUGAACUGUGGGUAGCGGAGAAAUUCCAAUCGAACUUGGAGAUAGCUGGUUCUCUCCGAAAUAGCUUUAGGGCUAGCCUCAAGUGAUGAUUAUUGGAGGUAGAGCACUGUUUGGACGAGGGGCCCCUCUCGGGUUACCGAAUUCAGACAAACUCCGAAUGCCAAUUAAUUUAACUUGGGAGUCAGAACAUGGGUGAUAAGGUCCGUGUUCGAAAGGGAAACAGCCCAGACCACCAGCUAAGGUCCCAAAAUAUAUGUUAAGUGGAAAAGGAUGUGGCGUUGCCCAGACAACUAGGAUGUUGGCUUAGAAGCAGCCAUCAUUUAAAGAGUGCGUAAUAGCUCACUAGUCGAGUGACACUGCGCCGAAAAUGUACCGGGGCUAAACAUAUUACCGAAGCUGUGGAUUGUCCGUAGGACAAUGGUAGGAGAGCGUUCUAAGGGCGUUGAAGCAUGAUCGCAAGGACAUGUGGAGCGCUUAGAAGUGAGAAUGCCGGUGUGAGUAGCGAAAGACGGGUGAGAAUCCCGUCCACCGAUUGACUAAGGUUUCCAGAGGAAGGCUCGUCCGCUCUGGGUUAGUCGGGUCCUAAGCUGAGGCCGACAGGCGUAGGCGAUGGAUAACAGGUUGAUAUUCCUGUACCACCUAGCAUCGUUUUAAUCGAUGGGGGGACGCAGUAGGAUAGGCGAAGCGUACGAUUGGAUUGUACGUCNNNNNNNNNNNNNNNNNNNNNNNNNNNNNNNNNNNNNNNNNNNNNNNNNNNNNNNNNNNNNNNNNNNNNNNNNNNNNNNNNNNNNNNNNNNNNNNNNNNAGUUAGCUUCUGCGAAGCUACGAAUCGAAGCCCCAGUAAACGGCGGCCGUAACUAUAACGGUCCUAAGGUAGCGAAAUUCCUUGUCGGGUAAGUUCCGACCCGCACGAAAGGCGUAACGAUUUGGGCACUGUCUCAACGAGAGACUCGGUGAAAUCAUAGUACCUGUGAAGAUGCAGGUUACCCGCGACAGGACGGAAAGACCCCGUGGAGCUUUACUGUAGCCUGAUAUUGAAAUUCGGCACAGCUUGUACAGGAUAGGUAGGAGCCUUUGAAACGUGAGCGCUAGCUUACGUGGAGGCGCUGGUGGGAUACUACCCUAGCUGUGUUGGCUUUCUAACCCGCACCACUUAUCGUGGUGGGAGACAGUGUCAGGCGGGCAGUUUGACUGGGGCGGUCGCCUCCUAAAAGGUAACGGAGGCGCUCAAAGGUUCCCUCAGAAUGGUUGGAAAUCAUUCAUAGAGUGUAAAGGCAUAAGGGAGCUUGACUGCGAGACCUACAAGUCGAGCAGGGUCGAAAGACGGACUUAGUGAUCCGGUGGUUCCGCAUGGAAGGGCCAUCGCUCAACGGAUAAAAGCUACCCCGGGGAUAACAGGCUUAUCUCCCCCAAGAGUUCACAUCGACGGGGAGGUUUGGCACCUCGAUGUCGGCUCAUCGCAUCCUGGGGCUGUAGUCGGUCCCAAGGGUUGGGCUGUUCGCCCAUUAAAGCGGUACGCGAGCUGGGUUCAGAACGUCGUGAGACAGUUCGGUCCCUAUCCGUCGUGGGCGUAGGAAAUUUGAGAGGAGCUGUCCUUAGUACGAGAGGACCGGGAUGGACAUACCUCUGGUGUACCAGUUGUCGUGCCAACGGCAUAGCUGGGUAGCUAUGUAUGGACGGGAUAAGUGCUGAAAGCAUCUAAGCAUGAAGCCCCCCUCAAGAUGAGAUUUCCCAACUUCGGUUAUAAGAUCCCUCAAAGAUGAUGAGGUUAAUAGGUUCGAGGUGGAAGCGUGGUGACACGUGGAGCUGACGAAUACUAAUCGAUCGAAGACUUAAUCAA